RNAcentral lists this transfer RNA (71 nucleotides) under Sporophila ruficollis (dark-throated seedeater). RNAcentral describes it as "tRNA-Gln". It matches the Rfam family "tRNA". Rfam says of the family: Transfer RNA (tRNA) molecules are approximately 80 nucleotides in length. Their secondary structure includes four short double-helical elements and three loops (D, anti-codon, and T loops). Further hydrogen bonds mediate the characteristic L-shaped molecular structure. tRNAs have two regions of fundamental functional importance: the anti-codon, which is responsible for specific mRNA codon recognition, and the 3' end, to which the tRNAs corresponding amino acid is attached (by aminoacyl-tRNA synthetases). tRNAs cope with the degeneracy of the genetic code in two manners: having more than one tRNA (with a specific anti-codon) for a particular amino acid; and 'wobble' base-pairing, i.e. permitting non-standard base-pairing at the 3rd anti-codon position. The record is from RNAcentral. RNAcentral also lists the same sequence under 6 other names. Lineage: Eukaryota; Metazoa; Chordata; Aves; Passeriformes; Thraupidae.
UAGAAAGUAAUAUAAGGGGAGUAUGGAGGGUUUUGAUCUCUCUAGUGUGGGUUCGAUUCCUGCCUUUCUAA